RNAcentral lists this unclassified non-coding RNA (305 nucleotides) under plant metagenome. RNAcentral describes it as "partial contains 5.8S ribosomal RNA, internal transcribed spacer 2, and large subunit ribosomal RNA". The stretch from base 1 to 105 matches the Rfam family "5.8S ribosomal RNA", at positions 50 to 154 of the family's 154-position model. The record is from RNAcentral.
GAAAUGCGAUAAGUAGUGUGAAUUGCAGAAUUCAUUGAAUCAUCGAAUCUUUGAACGCACAUUGCGCCCUUUGGUAUUCCAAAGGGCAUGCCUGUUCGAGCGUCAUUUGUACCCUCAAGCUUUGCUUGGUGUUGGGCGUCUUGUCUCCAGUUCGCUGGAGACUCGCCUUAAAGUAAUUGGCAGCCGGCCUACUGGUUUCGGAGCGCAGCACAAGUCGCGCUCUCUUCCAGCCAAGGUCAGCAUCCACAAAGCCUUUUUUCAACUUUUGACCUCGGAUCAGGUAGGGAUACCCGCUGAACUUAAGC